AGCGAACGCUGGCGGCAGGCCUAACACAUGCAAGUCGAACGAAGUCUUCGGACUUAGUGGCGGACGGGUGAGUAACACGUGGGAACGUGCCCUUUGGUACGGAAUAACUCAGGGAAACUUGAGCUAAUACCGUAUGUGCCCUUCGGGGGAAAGAUUUAUCGCCAUUGGAGCGGCCCGCGUCUGAUUAGCUAGUUGGGGAGGUAAAGGCUCACCAAGGCGACGAUCAGUAGCUGGUUUGAGAGGAUGAUCAGCCACAUUGGGACUGAGACACGGCCCAAACUCCUACGGGAGGCAGCAGUGGGGAAUCUUGCGCAAUGGGCGAAAGCCUGACGCAGCCAUGCCGCGUGAAUGAUGAAGGUCUUAGGAUUGUAAAAUUCUUUCACCGGGGACGAUAAUGACGGUACCCGGAGAAGAAGCCCCGGCUAACUUCGUGCCAGCAGCCGCCGUAA
This 449-nucleotide ribosomal RNA is filed under the name uncultured bacterium. RNAcentral's name for it is "partial 16S ribosomal RNA". It matches the Rfam family "Bacterial small subunit ribosomal RNA", at positions 29 to 523 of the family's 1533-position model. The record is from RNAcentral.